GAUGAACGCUGGCGGCGUGCUUAACACAGGCAAGUCGAACGCUGAAGCUCAGCUUGCUGGGUGGGUGAGUGGCGAACGGGUGUGUAACACGUGAGUAACCUGCCCUCUUCUUUGGGAUAACGCUCUGAAACGGUUGCUAAUACUGGAUAUUCACUGAUUCUCGGAUGGGUGUUGGUGGAAAGGUUUUUUCUGGUGGGGGAUGGGCUCGCGGCCUAUCAGCUUGGUGGGGGGGUGAUGGCCUACCAAGGCUUUGACGGGUAGCCGGCCUGAGAGGGUGACCGGUCACGUUGGGACUGGGAUCCGGACCAGACUCCUACGGGAGCCAGCAGUGGGGAAUAUUGAACAAUGGGAGAAUGCAUGAUGCGGCGACGCCGCGUGAGGGAUGGAGGGCUUCGGGUUGCAAACCUCUUUCGCUCAUGGUCAAGCAGCAGCGUUGGGUUGUGGUGAGGGUAGUGCGUAAGGAAGCGCCGGCUACCUACGUG
Molecule: ribosomal RNA, 482 nt
Filed under: uncultured bacterium
Lineage: Bacteria
Description: partial 16S ribosomal RNA
Rfam family: Bacterial small subunit ribosomal RNA
Source: RNAcentral